Molecule: ribosomal RNA, 63 nt
Filed under: Campylobacter jejuni
Lineage: Bacteria; Pseudomonadati; Campylobacterota; Epsilonproteobacteria; Campylobacterales; Campylobacteraceae
Also listed under: 1 other name
Description: partial 16S ribosomal RNA
Rfam family: Bacterial small subunit ribosomal RNA
Source: RNAcentral
UUUAUGGAGAGUUUGAUCCUGGCUCAGAGUGAACGCUGGCGGCGUGCCUAAUACAUGCAAGUC